Molecule: unclassified non-coding RNA, 1437 nt
Filed under: Leishmania donovani
Lineage: Eukaryota; Euglenozoa; Kinetoplastea; Trypanosomatida; Trypanosomatidae
Description: gene:unknown
Source: RNAcentral
CGCGGUGCGUUGCAUCCACACACUGUAACGCGGUGCGUCGUCGUUCUUUUACGUAGGUGCACAAGGCAAUUAGCAUUACGCAGCCCACAAUCUUGCUGUGCUCUAGCGGAACAACAUCACAGAAGAAUCACUAAAGCCUUUGCUCUUUUCAAAAAGUAACUGCGUUGUAUUUGUUCUUAGGUCCCUUCUCUCUCUGAUGAUGCCGGCCACCUCACCGCAGUAUCACGGUGCAAUACCCAUUCUGUGGUGAAGCCGAUAACCGGGAGCCUGGCCUCGGGUACGGUUGUGGUCUCUUGGUUCUGACGGACAAUUUUGGGCUGGUGCCGUGCGGAAGAGACAUGCGAUCAUGACCACGUUUGCACCAGCUCACUACACAUCGUUCCGGCGAUGCAACGAAUCUACUCCUUCACCUACUGUUUUUCUGCUUGUGCUGCGCUGCGGUGAUGCUGAGUGUGACCAUGAACCUAGCCUACGCUGCAUGCAGUGGCGUUGAAAUGGACACAAAGACGCCAAGCGGUGUUUGUGGGCCCGGUUCCCCCACAUAGCCGACGUGUGGCAGAGGCAGGUGAACUGCGGUUGUGUAUCUGUCUAUUUGCUGACAUGUUUGUUCAACCAUGAACACGUUAGAAGAAAUACGUGUCCAUGCCGCCACACAACAAGAGCUAAGCUCAUCUCUGCCCGGCCGGUCACAGGCCCCGUCGCGCGGCGCGAGGCAGCCGUAGGCACACGAGGUGCAGCAAUGCCCAGACCCGGUCAUCGGUGCAUGGCUUCUGCCUCGAACCUUACCCACCCCCGCCCCACAGGUCGCCCCACAGCCACGCACAUUAUGCUGGCCAUCACCCGGGGCAUCCCUCUCGGGGGGCCCAGACUCACCCCGCCCCCAGUGGGCAGUGAGGGCCGGGGGUGGGACGCGUUCGAGUCACGCCGACACUCCGCCCAUCCUGUGGAUGGCGAAAACGUGUGCGCGGUCGCGGGUCGCUCCGGCGCCACGCCAUCCAGCACCGGACACUGCGGGCAUCGGCAGUGAUACAUCGCUCUGACGUCCCUACGUCACGCGCGCCUGACCCUGUCACCACCAGAGGUGGUUGUGCAGUGGCAGGAAUAGGGGCUGCUUGGCUUCCCCACAGAGAGAGUGGGCACUGGGCCCAGAUACCACGCUGAGGUGUCACCUAUGUUAUCAGGGACAAUGGACUUUAGGUGAGGAGCGCAAUCAAGCACAGUGCAGCAAAGGUGCUGUUUAGGGUCUAGCUGUGCGAGGUAAAGAGAGGCGCGCAGUCUUCACUACCUGCUCAGCUGUUUCGAGGGGGAAGAAAUUGCGAAGCUGGUUUCACUGUUGCGUCUCUGAUGUGGGGCGAGCUCGUGCACUCACCUCUGUCGAAUGCUCAGUUGUUAGAGCACAUCACAGCGCCAGGCUGCAAUCAGCACUAUCGAGACAAC